UCAAGUCGAGCGAGACCUUCGGGUCUAGCGGCGGACGGGUGAGUAACGCGUGGGAAUAUGCCCUUUGGUACGGAAUAGCCUCGGGAAACUGAGAGUAAUACCGUAUGUGCCCUUCGGGGGAAAGAUUUAUCGCCGAAGGAUUACCCCGCGUUGGAUUAGGUAGUUGGUGGGGUAAUGGCCUACCAAGCCUACGAUCCAUAGCUGGUUUGAGAGGAUGAUCAGCCACACUGGGACUGAGACACGGCCCAGACUCCUACGGGAGGCAGCAGUGGGGAAUCUUAGACAAUGGGGGCAACCCUGAUCUAGCCAUGCCGCGUGAGUGAUGAAGGCCUUAGGGUUGUAAAGCUCUUUCAGSUGGGAAGAUAAUGACKGUACCASCAGAAGAAGCCCCGGCUAACUCCGUGCCAGCAGCCGCGGUAAUACGGAGGGGGCUAGCGUUGUUCGGAAUUACUGGGCGUAAAGCGCACGUAGGCGGACUGGAAAGUUGGAGGUGAAAUCCCAGGGCUCAACCUUGGAACUGCCUUCAAAACUAUCAGUCUGGAGKUCGAGAGAGGUGAGUGGAAUUCCGAGUGUAGAGGUGAAAUUCGUAGAUAUUCGGAGGGAACACCAGUGGCGAAGGCGGCUCACUGGCUCGAUACUGACGCUGAGGUGCGAAAGUGUGGGGAGCAAACAGGAUUAGAUACCCUGGUAGUCCACACCGUAAACGAUGAAUGCCAGUCGUCGGGCAGUAUACUGUUCGGUGACACACCUAACGGAUUAAGCAUUCCGYCUGGGGAGUACGGUCGCAAGAUUAAAACUCAAAGGAAUUGACGGSGGYCCGCACAAGSCGGUGGAGCRWUGUGGKUUAAUUCG
Molecule: ribosomal RNA, 852 nt
Filed under: uncultured Chloroflexota bacterium
Lineage: Bacteria; Bacillati; Chloroflexota
Description: bacterial SSU rRNA
Rfam family: Bacterial small subunit ribosomal RNA
Source: RNAcentral